GCAGCAGUGGGGAAUCUUGCGCAAUGGGCGAAAGCCUGACGCAGCAACGCCGCGUGCGGGAUGAAGGCCUUCGGGUUGUAAACCGCUUUCAGCAGGAACGAAAAUGCGGUACCUGCAGAAGAAGGAGCGGCCAACUACGUGCCAGCAGCCGCGGUGACACGUAGGCUCCAAGCGUUGUCCGGAUUUAUUGGGCGUAAAGAGCUCGUAGGCGGUUUAGUAAGUCGGGUGUUAAAACUCUGGGCUUAACCCGGAGACGCCAUCCGAUACUACUAUGACUUGAGUUCAGGAGGGAGCGGGGAAUUCCUAGUGUAGCGGUGAAAUGCGCAGAUAUUAGGAGGAACACCGGUGGCGAAGGCGCCGCUCUGGACUGAAACUGACGCUGAGGAGCGAAAGCAUGGGUAGCAAACAGGAUUAGAUACCCUGGUAGUCCAUGCCGUAAACGGUGGGCACUAGGUGUGGGUUCAACUAACGGGAUCCGCGCCGUCGCUAACGCAUUAAGUGCCCCGCCUGGGGAGUACGGUCGCAAGACUAAAACUCAAAGGAAUUGCGGGGGNUNNANUU
This 561-nucleotide ribosomal RNA is filed under the name uncultured Gram-positive bacterium. Its description in RNAcentral is "bacterial SSU rRNA". It matches the Rfam family "Bacterial small subunit ribosomal RNA", at positions 348 to 926 of the family's 1533-position model. The record is from RNAcentral.